Molecule: long non-coding RNA, 243 nt
Filed under: Setaria italica (foxtail millet)
Lineage: Eukaryota; Viridiplantae; Streptophyta; Magnoliopsida; Poales; Poaceae
Description: long non-coding RNA (SITA_LNC000947)
Source: RNAcentral
UUUUAUUGUACUUUGCGAGACGAAUCUUUUGAGUCUAAUUAGUCAAUGUUUGGACAAUAAUUCACAAAUACAAACGAAAUGCUAUAGUUGCGCAUUUAUGGUAAAAUGUCAAUUUUGCCACUUCCAAAUUGGGAACUAAACAAGGUCUGAAAGUCUAACAAGAGGAGUGAACGAAAGUCUGAAGUCUCCCUAUCAUCGUCCACUUGCAUAGCCUUUACUGACUUGAGGGGAAAACGGCACCAG